GAGGAAGGAGGAGCCCGCUGCCCCGCUCCCCUACCUCAGCGUCGGGUCUACCCUGCCCACCUUCACCAUGUCACAGCAAGAUGCGCCCCCUUUGGCCCAGCCCCCAGGUGACACACGGCCCGGAACUUUGACCCGCCUUGUGCAAACUGGCUGCCCAUCUGAACCCAAAGCCCCUUGAGGGCGGUGAGCAACGCCUGCUGGCUAAGGGGUGCCCCUGAGCAGGGGGUGAAGACACCCCGCCAAGCUGCUGGUCUUUCAAGUGGGAUUUUAAGGCCGGGUAGAAUUUUUAAAAAUGAAAGGUUAAUCGCUUUUCAACAGUUUUUUUUUGAGACGGCGUCUC
This 340-nucleotide long non-coding RNA is filed under the name Homo sapiens (human). RNAcentral describes it as "HSALNT0215869". The record is from RNAcentral. Lineage: Eukaryota; Metazoa; Chordata; Mammalia; Primates; Hominidae.